ACGAACGCUGGCGGCGUGCUUAACACCUGCAAGUCGAACGGAAAGGCCCUGCUUUUGUGGGGUGCUCGAGUGGCGAACGGGUGAGUAACACGUGAGUAACCUGCCCUUGACUUUGGGAUAACUUCAGGAAACUGGGGCUAAUACCGGAUAGGAGCUCCUGCUGCAUGGUGGGGGUUGGAAAGUUUCGGCGGUUGGGGAUGGACUCGCGGCUUAUCAGCUUGUUGGUGGGGUAGUGGCUUACCAAGGCUUUGACGGGUAGCCGGCCUGAGAGGGUGACCGGCCACAUUGGGACUGAGAUACGGCCCAGACUCCUACGGGAGGCAGCAGUGGGGAAUAUUGCACAAUGGGCGGAAGCCUGAUGCAGCAACGCCGCGUGCGGGAUGGCGGCCUUCGGGUUGUAAACCGCUUUCGCCUGUGACGAAGCGUGAGUGACGGUAAUGGGUAAAGAAGCACCGGCUAACUACGUG
RNAcentral lists this ribosomal RNA (467 nucleotides) under uncultured bacterium. RNAcentral describes it as "partial 16S ribosomal RNA". It matches the Rfam family "Bacterial small subunit ribosomal RNA", at positions 29 to 507 of the family's 1533-position model. The record is from RNAcentral.